AAUGGGCGGGACAAAGGGUCGCGAUCUCGCAAGGGUGAGCUAACUCCAAAAACCCGUCCUCAGUUCGGAUUGCAGGCUGCAACUCGCCUGCAUGAAG
This is a non-coding RNA of Zea mays, 97 nucleotides long. The record is from Rfam. Lineage: Eukaryota; Viridiplantae; Streptophyta; Magnoliopsida; Poales; Poaceae.